RNAcentral lists this ribosomal RNA (751 nucleotides) under bacterium EA10-ST-5. RNAcentral's name for it is "bacterial SSU rRNA". It matches the Rfam family "Bacterial small subunit ribosomal RNA", at positions 51 to 785 of the family's 1533-position model. The record is from RNAcentral.
AUACAUGCAAGUCGCGCGGGCGGAAGGGGAGCUUGCUCUCUGGAAGCCAGCGGCGGACGGGUGAGUAACACGUGGGCAACCUGCCUGGCAGACGGGGAUAACGCCUGGAAACGGGUGCUAAUACCGGAUAGGCAGCAGGGAGGCAUCUUCCUGCUGGGAAAGGCGCUACGGCGUCACUGCCAGAUGGGCCCGCGGCGCAUUAGCUAGUUGGUGAGGUAACGGCUCACCAAGGCGACGAUGCGUAGCCGACCUGAGAGGGUGACCGGCCACACUGGGACUGAGACACGGCCCAGACUCCUACGGGAGGCAGCAGUAGGGAAUCUUCCACAAUGGGCGCAAGCCUGAUGGAGCAACGCCGCGUGAGUGAAGAAGGCCUUCGGGUUGUAAAACUCUGUCUUCUGGGACGAAUGGCUAUGAGAGGGAAUGCUCAUGGAGUGACGGUACCAGAGGAGGAAGCCACGGCUAACUACGUGCCAGCAGCCGCGGUAAUACGUAGGUGGCAAGCGUUGUCCGGAAUCACUGGGCGUAAAGCGCGCGCAGGCGGCCGUUUAAGUCUGGGGUGAAAACCCGGGGCUCAACCCCGGGAGGGCCUUGGAUACUGGAUGGCUUGAGCAUCGGAGAGGCAAGGGGAAUUCCACGUGUAGCGGUGAAAUGCGUAGAGAUGUGGAGGAACACCAGUGGCGAAGGCGCCUUGCUGGCCGAUAGCUGACGCUGAGGCGCGAAAGCGUGGGGAGCAAACAGGAUUAGAUAC